CACUAAAAGCUUAACUCUGCUGAUACCUUUGCCUCUUUCUAAUAGGCAAAGUACAAGUUUGACACAAGGGGCCUUAGGCAACUGAUGGGUGUGGCCAUAUGUCUCAGCCAUGGGGUUCAUCCAUGGGAUUUGACCAUGAGAUAGAGAGAUCUGACGAGGCCCCAGCCAAGAAGGACCAAAUUGGCCAGGCUCUCUCUUUCAUCAACAACAGCACCCUUGAUGAUGAUGAAUCCACCAUAGUCAAUCGCUCUCCUUCCUCGACGUUCACUGCCACAAGCCACCAUCAAGGUGGUAUACUUGCUCUCUCCCUCCAUCUCUAGUCUCUACUUUUCUUGGACUCACCCACUCAAUCUCCCUUCUUCAAUCUGUGAUGGUGUGAGGGUUUGGGUUAUUUGAUGGUUAAUAUAUCUGAGCUAUGGUUGAAAUGGUUUUAGGGUUUGGUUGUGAUGGAUUUGGGUUUAGUGGUGGUGGAUCUAGGGAAGAAGAACAAGAAAAGGAAUGGAGAUUUUGGGUGUGGCUUGUUAUGGGUCUUUGAUGAUUUUGUUGGGUUUGAGAAAAUGGGGGCUUUGGGAUUUAUGAAUUUGUAUUUGAGCUUAUUUUUUUGGGUUUUUGGUGUUUGUUUCCUAAGAAAAUAUAGGUUUAUGGAUUUGUUGGAGAUUGGUUUGUUUAUUGAGUUUAUGGGUUUGAUUUGUUGGAGAAUUCGGUGUUGUAUGGCAAAUUAGUUAUUCAAUUA
Molecule: long non-coding RNA, 733 nt
Organism: Quercus robur (English oak)
Lineage: Eukaryota; Viridiplantae; Streptophyta; Magnoliopsida; Fagales; Fagaceae
Exons: 2
Source: RefSeq, a predicted model, not a curated record